RNAcentral lists this ribosomal RNA (253 nucleotides) under uncultured bacterium. RNAcentral describes it as "partial 16S ribosomal RNA". It matches the Rfam family "Bacterial small subunit ribosomal RNA", at positions 524 to 776 of the family's 1533-position model. The record is from RNAcentral.
UACAGAGGGGGCAAGCGUUGUUCGGAAUUACUGGGCGUAAAGGGCGCGUAGGUGGCCUUCUAAGUCAUGCGUGAAAUCCCCGGGCUCAACCCGGGAACUGCGUCUGAUACUGGAAGGCUUGAAUCCGGGAGAGGGAUGCGGAAUUCCAGGUGUAGCGGUGAAAUGCGUAGAUAUCUGGAGGAACACCGGUGGCGAAGGCGGCAUCCUGGACCGGUAUUGACACUGAGGCGCGAAAGCCAGGGGAGCAAACGGG